AUCAUAUAUAUAGAGGGCUACCGUUUCUCAAGAAGAUACGCAGCUAAAGAAAAUCGCGCGAAGGUACUUGCAACUUCCAGAUACUAAAACCGUCGUCAUUUCCUACAAAAGCAAGAAACUUGCUGACUGAAUAUUGCUGGCUGUUAGAGAAUAUACAGUGUCGUAACAAUAAAUAUUUCUACAAAGAAAAAAUGACUCGACUGUUUUUAUUAUAGUUGAUAUUGUAUUUAAUCUAAUAACUUUCAUUAACCCUCGAAAUCGUUCU
Molecule: long non-coding RNA, 265 nt
Organism: Melitaea cinxia (Glanville fritillary)
Lineage: Eukaryota; Metazoa; Arthropoda; Insecta; Lepidoptera; Nymphalidae
Exons: 3
Source: RefSeq, a predicted model, not a curated record